AACAAAAAUAUCACACAUACAAACAACCUCUUACAACAAUCUCAGUGCCAAUCUAUAAUACUAUAGAAGAACUAAUGCUAGAACUAGUAACAAGAACCAAUCUCUUACGCACAACUGUAAAUCAGUCACAGAAAGCCUACUGAAAAUUAACAGCUCAAUGCAUACCU
This 167-nucleotide ribosomal RNA is filed under the name Sceloporus smaragdinus. RNAcentral's name for it is "partial 16S ribosomal RNA". Lineage: Eukaryota; Metazoa; Chordata; Lepidosauria; Squamata; Phrynosomatidae. The record is from RNAcentral.